RNAcentral lists this ribosomal RNA (464 nucleotides) under uncultured bacterium. Its description in RNAcentral is "partial 16S ribosomal RNA". It matches the Rfam family "Bacterial small subunit ribosomal RNA", at positions 28 to 506 of the family's 1533-position model. The record is from RNAcentral.
GACGAACGCUGGCGGCGUGCUUAACACAUGCAAGUCGAACGGAAAGGCCCUGCUUGCAGGGUACUCGAGUGGAGAACGGGUGAGUAACACGUGGGUGAUCUGCCCUGCACUUCGGGAUAAGCCUGGGAAACUGGGUCUAAUACCGGAUAGGAGCCAUUUUUAGUGUGAUGGUUGGAAAGUUUUUUCGGUGUAGGAUGAGCUCGCGGCCUAUCAGCUUGUUGGUGGGGUAAUGGCCUACCAAGGCGGCGACGGGUAGCCGGCCUGAGAGGGUGGACGGCCACAUUGGGACUGAGAUACGGCCCAGACUCCUACGGGAGGCAGCAGUGGGGAAUAUUGCACAAUGGGCGCAAGCCUGAUGCAGCGACGCCGCGUGGGGGAUGACGGCCUUCGGGUUGUAAACUCCUUUCGCUAGGGACGAAGCUUUUUGUGACGGUACCUAGAUAAGAAGCACCGGCUAACUACGU